CUGGUGGCAGCGCUCGCGGGUCAGCGACAGACACACCAGGCCACGCGCGUGGGUGACCAUGAAGUUGAUGUCGGACGGCUUGACCAGCUCGGCGGCCAUGAUCA
Molecule: antisense RNA, 104 nt
Filed under: Lysobacter concretionis Ko07 = DSM 16239
Lineage: Bacteria; Pseudomonadati; Pseudomonadota; Gammaproteobacteria; Lysobacterales; Lysobacteraceae
Description: Vibrio RNA AS9
Rfam family: Vibrio RNA AS9
About the family: Identified by direct cloning an parallel sequencing experiments with 5S/tRNA depletion. Confirmed by Northern blot.
Source: Rfam by way of RNAcentral